Molecule: ribosomal RNA, 497 nt
Filed under: uncultured bacterium
Lineage: Bacteria
Description: partial 16S ribosomal RNA
Rfam family: Bacterial small subunit ribosomal RNA
Source: RNAcentral
GACGAACGCUGGCGGCGUGCCUAAUACAUGCAAGUUGAGCGAUGAAGAUUGGUGCUUGCCCCAAUUUGAAGAGCAGCGAACGGGUGAGUAACGCGUGGGGAAUCUGCCUUUGAGCGGGGGACAACAUUUGGAAACGAAUGCUAAUACUGCAUAACAACUUUAAACAUAAGUUUUAAGUUUGAAAGAUGCAAUUGCAUCACUCAAAGAUGAUCCCGCGUUGUAUUAGCUAGUUGGUGAGGUAAAGGCUCACCAAGGCGAUGAUACAUAGCCGACCUGAGAGGGUGAUCGGCCACAUUGGGACUGAGACACGGCCCAAACUCCUACGGGAGGCAGCAGUAGGGAAUCUUCGGCAAUGGACGAAAGUCUGACCGAGCAACGCCGCGUGAGUGAAGAAGGUUGUCGGAUCGUAAAACUCUGUUGGUAGAGAAGAACGUUGGUGAGAGUGGAAAGCUCAUCAAGUGACGGUAACUACCCAGAAAGGGACGGCUAACUACGUG